GGACGGUACGUGUUUCUUCGCUCAAGCGCCGCGGUGACCCACGCACCAGCCGGGCGUGAAGCGCUGGCCGCGGCGACGAGAAGCCGAGCUUGGAGAGCUAAUCUGAGGGUUCUACUCCGCAUUGGAUGAACCUAAGUAUUCAGCAGUCCCUGUUGCUGUUGUUAAAUGAGGAUCAUAGGUCAUUAAGCAAGAACUUCUUUGUAACUUCCUGACAGCUUCCAACAACCAAAGUCAAUGGGAAGCCAGCAAGAAGUUGCAAGUCCCAGAUGGCUCACAAGCAGGCUAGCAGGCAGCAACUUGAAAAUGAUUGAUGGACGUCCAAUGCAUCUGCAGCUUUUCAAGCCAAAAGACGGGCAUUUCCAGCAUCUGGAAGGAGACAUGGUGUUAAGACUAUGGAAAUCUGAAAGAAAUAGAGCUGAACGAUAUUAUGAAGAGAAACACAGAAUGGAUAUGUACAAAUACGUAUUUUAUUUGCAGCACUGAACUAUUAAUCAUGUUAAAAACAAGAAGGGAAUGUAUUUGGUAAAACACACUUUAUUCAAACAAUGUAUCAUAAGUUUUCAUGUCCUUGACUUUGAGGGAUAUAAAAUGAGACCAAGAGUUAAAUUACCAUCAGUAUAAAUGAUUUGGUCCUAAAUUUUAUAUUUUAUAAAUGAUAUUUUAUAUCAUUACAUAAUAAACAAAUGGUAACAAAUCAACUCCCUAUUUCUACUUGGAACAUUCUAAUCUUACUUCUAGAGGCAUGUGGACCCUGCACUAGGUUAACAGGCAUUUAUGAUGACUUGUAAAAUACUACAUAUUGCCUGAUUACUUCUGGGCAUUUAAAAUUUUAUGUUUAUUUAUGCAUGUGAUUUGCUACAUUUGAAAUGAAGCAUAAAUGGAUGACAAAAUUAUGCUAUCAACAACACUUGUCACACCUUGAUGGCAUUUACCCAUUACAAAUAAUUCAGGAACCUCUUGAUUAUUUAGCUUUAAUAAAAAGGUUAACGGUGAA
Molecule: long non-coding RNA, 994 nt
Organism: Pantherophis guttatus
Lineage: Eukaryota; Metazoa; Chordata; Lepidosauria; Squamata; Colubridae
Source: RefSeq, a predicted model, not a curated record